Molecule: long non-coding RNA, 6959 nt
Organism: Culex pipiens pallens (northern house mosquito)
Lineage: Eukaryota; Metazoa; Arthropoda; Insecta; Diptera; Culicidae
Exons: 3
Source: RefSeq, a predicted model, not a curated record
AUUGUAUGUUUGUAUGUAUGUAUUAGGGUGGGUACGUUUUUCAGAAAGUUCUCGGAUCAAGUUUUAGUAUGGUUCCCCUUGUAGGGCAUGCCCAUAGGGACUUUCAUGCCAAAUAUCAGCUCAUUUGGUUGUAAACUGGCUGCGCACCAGCCAAAAAUCAAUUUUCCAAUCGAUUUUUAAGCUUUAAAAAUCAUUGGAUAGAAGAACUCUUCAAUUUUUAGAAAUUUUCAGGGUUGGAAGUUUAACUUGUUUUAUGUGACUUUGCCAAUGUUUUAAAAAUGUCAUUUUUUUAGGGGUUAACUUUGGCUGUGUUUUUUACUAACAUUUCCUAUAUUUUGAGUAAAAAGAAGUAUGCAGUAAUUUUUGUAGUGUCCCAGACUAUGCUUCUACGCAUUUUUUUUUUGCAAUUUAAGAGCGAGUCCACGAACAGGGCAUACCCCUUUGUAUGGGACGUCGUUUGAACCUCACCAAUCUGUCUGAAAUUUGCAGGGGUUGUUUGUACAUAUAAAACUAGCAUCUGGCCAAAAUAUGAGCACUCUAGGUCAACGGGAAGUGGGGCAAAUCGGGACACAAAGUUUGAAGGUUAAAAAACGUCAAAAAUCUUAAAAAGGCUAUAACUUUGGCAAAAUUCAAUUUAAUUUCAAAAUUCAAAAUGCAUCUGAAAGGGCUUAAAAAAUGCAACAAAAUGCAGGGAGAACCAUCCGAAUUGGUUAAAUCUAAAGGGAGUUAUUGGCAUUUCAGUGAAAAAAUAGCAUCAUUUUCAAACUCAAAUAAAAAAGUGUUCCAUCCAGAUAUCAACUCGGUUCGACCUGCAGCUUGUAGGGGACAUCUGGGUCUACCAUCUGAGACUAAUGACGCUUUGGGUAAGGCAGUUUAACAUAUUAAAUAGACACUUUUACUUUUAGUAAAUUUUUUGGUUGUAAAUUUUUGCUCCGGAGACCCUUUAGAUCCCAUUUUCUGGUGAUAAUUCUAUCAUAUUCGUGUUCCUGAGACAAUUUCACAUAAGAUACAUGCAUAAAAGUUGUUAUUUUCAUCAAUUUUAACCCUUUAAAAAAUGAAAGAUAAAAAAAAUCUUAGAUUCACAUUUAAUGAAAAUCAAGUUCGUUUCCAAGGAUACUAGAUGACACCAGAAAAAAAGCAGCUUCUUAAUUUUUUUAUCUUUCAUUUUUUAAAGGGUUAAAAUUGAUUAAAAAUAACAACUUUUAUGCAUGUUUCUUAUGUGAAAUUGUCUCAGGAACACGAAUAUGAUAGAAUUAUCACCAGAAAAUGGGUUAGUUUUAUAUAUUUAAAUUGGGCUAGUUUUAUAUGUACAAACAACCCCUGAGAAUUUCAGGCAGAUUGGUGAGGUCGAUGCGAGAUGGGUAUGCUUUGCUCGUGGACUCGCUCUUAAAUGAUGAUGGUGCCAUUCUAUAGCAGAAAAUGUGAAAAACAUGCAUAAAAUUGAAAAAGUGACUGUAAAAACGUUUAAAAAUUAGGUAGGCAAAAUGUAGGCAAAAUUAGGUCAGGGGUGCCCAGCCUUUUGGCCCUGCGGGCCAGGUCUGAUUUUACUGAAGCAGUGGCGGGCCGGAAUUAUUAUUUGAUAAAAGUUGAAAAGUAAACAUUUUUUUUUCAAUUUUCAUAUGAUUGGGUUCUUUAAAAGCAAAUACAUAAAAGAACUAGUGUUGCGAAUAUGAUUCAUACAUCUUGAUUUUAAAAAUGGAAAACAGAGAUUACAUUCAAAAAUGUGUUUAUUUGACUUAUUUUAAUUUUUGUAUGUUUAAAAUUGUACAGAUAUUGUUUUUGACGAUUGCAAUCAAAUAUCACAUCCGAAUUUCAAUUAUCGUUGCAAUUUUUUGAAGUUUUUGAUACAUUUUUUAAUAUUUUAAAAAUAUUUCCUGCGAUCUAUUUUCAGUAUGAAUAAUUUGAUUUUUAAACUUUUUGAAAAAACUUUAUCACUAAAAAGUUGUUCUGGAAAAAUACCUAAGUUUUGCUUACUUAUUUAUUAAAAAAAAGAAAAUAGAAAAAAAAACUUCAAAUUGAAGUAAACACAGUUAAAACUGAAAGAAAUAACAUUUAGUCUCUUUUUGUAAAUUUAAAGACAACAAUCCAAGUUUUUUCAUAAAUUUCACAAUUUUACGAAAUGGAUUAUUUUGUUUUCCUGCACAAUUUAAAAGUUAGUUAAAAAAUAUCAAUAUAAAAAUUAUAAGAAUUAAAUUCAAACAUGAAGAAUGUUCUUAUGAUAUGUUAAAAUUUGAUCUCCAGCUUAAGCCUUAAGGGCCGGUCAUAGAAAUAUUUUAAAAAGACAUCGCGGGUCGGAUGAAAUGGCUUCACGGGCAGGAUCCGGCCCGCGGGCCGGACGUUGGGCAGGCCUGUAUUAGGUGGUAGAAAAGGCCAAAUACUACCAAAGACAAACAUAAACUAAACAAGAUAAAUGCAAAUUAAAAUACUAAAAAUAAAACAAGAAUAAAAUUAAACAAGAGAAGCAAAGUUUUUCGUAGAACAAAAGUUGCUCAAAAUGACCUCCUGAAUACGGGAAAAAUAAAUAUUUUCGAAAAAAAAAAUGUGGGCAGUAGAGGGUUAAGUAUCUUUUUUGACGAAGGUGAUGUGCAUGCUUUUGCAUGCGAUUUUACCAUCUGAUUUUUUGCUGUGUAGAUAAAAGAAAGGUACUUGUGAUUGGUACUAGCAAUAGUGGCCGACAGCUGUAAAGUCAACUUCGAUUUUUACUUAAUUUAUAAUUUAUAUUAUAAGGUCCUCUUAGGUACUGAUCCUAGGUUGGAACCGAGUGUCUGAUAAAAAAAAAAAUAUAUAAAACGUACACAGCAAAAAAAUAUAAUAUUCAUCUGAAAAUAGUGGCAGAUUUUGUGCAAAACAAGUGUAAUAUCACAUCAGGAAUUGGUGAUUUUUCAUCAGUUUCUGAUGAAUUUGCCUCUGAUGAAUUUGCCUAAAAUAGUAUUUUUGACGGAAACACACUUGACAGAAAAGCACGACCUAGACGAAUUUGAGAUCCAGAAUUACCGAUGCAGUUGCUGUCUGUCCAGAUCAGCACACACGGGUGGGGUGAUGGUGUAUGUACAUAGCUAAAAAAGUAGUAAUCCAGCUACGUGUAAAAGGCCUGGGUGUAAAAUAAAUAUUGCAUUAUUUCAUGCAAUUUUAUGUGAUAUUACACCCUGAAAUAUGUAGCCCAUCAGUAUGGGAAACCUACUUGACCGAAAUGUCAAGCUCAUAUAUGCGUUUAGCCUUUCAGCUUUUCAUCGGUCUGAUGGCCGAGUGGGCUAAGGCGCCAGCCCUUACUUUUGGUGCUGGGUUUGAAUCCCGUCGGUUGCAACUUUUUUUUUGUGUUUGCAAAAAUUGUACAUGCAGGGUGUAAUAUUAAGUGUUUAUUUUGACGAAGGUGAUGUGCAUGCUUUUGCAUGCGAUUUUACCAUCGGAUUUUUUGCUGUGUAGACGAGAUUGUCUCGAAUACGGCGCAGGAGAUAACUUGUUCUUGCUGGCGAUCGACGUGAAAAGUACAACGCUCAAUGGAAUCUAUGGAGGAAUCUACCAUUCUCCCAGCAGCAGUGACGUUGGUUUCAUAGACAGCUUUGAGAGUUGGCUGAGGACGGUCUUCCAGGACUGGAACGAACCGGGAUACGCACGUGAGCUGAAGAACGUUACCGAAGCCUUAGGGAUGAAGCAGAUAGUAUCAGAACCGACGCGUGUUGGUCCCAGUAGCAGUACAAUUAUUGACCUUGUCUUCAAAAACUUGGAGGGGUGGAGGCGCGCGUCACUGAAGAGCUUAAGAUAACUGAUCACGAGACCAUCUAUAUUCACGUGGGAGAAACCACGAUUAACCUACCGGAGCAGAAAAAGUGUAACGUUACAUUAGCUGGAAACGGUAUACGAAGGAACGACUGCAAGCUGCGCUACGAGCAAAACUGAGGAGUGCUGACGUUCCCUGUUUGAAAAAUGUCGCACGUCGUACGAGUUGUCGCACGGUUUUGAUUUUACCGUUUCGAUAUCGAUUGAUCGAAAGGACGACAAACGUGCGACAAACACUCGACAAGCCCGACAUUGUUUCUCCUAUCGAUUUUCCUUCAAUUUGACGUCACGAUUUUCGUCGACGCAAGCAGUUUGACAGUUCUUUUCAGUUGGUCUUGUUUUAACUUGAUUGCAGUUUUCGUUGCUGUUGAGCUUCGCAAGGAUUUUGACCGGUUGGUAGGUUUCCUGAUUUCGGUCAUCGUGGUGGUAGAGGCGAAGGAGGAUGGGAAAUAGAGAUAACCCGGCGGCCAUGCCGGAAGACGGGAGGAACCGGUCUGCGGUCAAGUAAACGGAUGUUUUACUUUCCGCGGGAGGUUGCGGAGUAUUCCCAAAGGAGAAGAAGGAUGAAAUACCAAGUUCCGCCCAAGGGAACAUAAAGAGAGAAACGGAACUUCCAAUUCCUAGGGAGUUGUUCACUGUUCUGGGUGAAUGAAAAGGAGGAGGAGGACGGAAUAAUAUACACCCGGCGGCGUUUCUGAUCCGACAGAAGUUGUUAUCAAUGGAACUGGUAACCAAAAAUAUUCCAAUCGAAUCCUGCUGCUGACAACCCAGCGUUUCCGUGUUGUCCCACGGAACGAAAGCUGUAACGAUCGCACCGGAAGUGCGUAAACCGACGUUGUCCCGUACUCCGGUGGCCAUCAAUCCGUGGGAAAUAAACGAAAGAGCCGCUUCAGUGCCGUAUCUACACGCUGGCGUCGGUUCGAAAAGAUGGCUGACAAAAUCCGGCCAAGAUGCCGAAGCGACGAGAUGAGCUAAAAGGCCAACCGGAAGACAACGCCAAAAACCACGUGAAGAUCGCAACUUAGAUUAAUUUACAGAAUAAACACAUCUAAAAACUAUUUAAAAAUAAAAAAAAAAGUUUAUUUUUACUGCAACAUAACCUAAAAAGCCGAAAAAACAGCACACGACAAAGGCACGACAACCUAAAUAACAAAACCGUGCGACGUCGGUCGAAUGUCGUACGACAAUGUCGAACAAUUUCGAUGAUCGAUCGCACGACAAAUACGACAUUUUGGUGCAAAAACGUAUGACAUUCGUGCGAAUGUCGCACGACAUUGUCGUGCGACGUCGUACGGUUGCACGGACGACAAACGACGGACAUCCGACGGACUUUUCAGUCAGGGUUGGAGUGACCGUUGGAGAAGUUGCACAAACUUUUGGCUCAACGCUGGCGACGGCGUUUGCGGAGCUGACCGAUCUAUGUAGCAAUGACCGGAAAGUCUCAAACGUGGUAUGGAGAACAGCUGAGAAACCUUAAAACCGAGCGGGAUGAUGCCUACAGGACCUUCAAACAUACAAAAAGGCUGGAUGGUUGGAACCUUUAUAAAGUGCUUCGAAACCGCUACGUCCGAGGACUGAGAUCAUCAAAGAACCUGGCAGUAGAAGGGGAAAUUCUAAGUUGUCACAGAAAUCCUAAGAAGCUUUGAAGAAGCCUAAAAUCGCUGAUUCGGCCUGGUGGAGAACCUCCAAUAGAAAUUGUUUUCGAGGGAGCGCGAAGCGAAAGGGAAACGGCGGAACGCUUGAAUCAUUUCUUCGUGAAAAGUGUAGAGACAAUCCUUAGAAACAUCCCACCAGCCCAGGUGGAACUAGUAGUAGCACCAGCAGAAGUAAGGGUAAACCAAAAUGGCAGCGAGGACUUAUUAACGGAGCUUCAACCAACCACCUUGACGAAACUGAAAGAAACAGUCUUGUAACAAAUGGUGGGCUACCCCAGUAUUAAUGAGACCCCCCUUUUUGCCUCAGGGUCGGCAUGUUAAUCCGGAAUCGAAAAGGGAAACACUCGAUUGAACCUACAGACAAAACAAACCCACUUUAUUCUGGUUACCAGCGUUUUAUUCGGCAGACUAAAGCUGCGCGUUCUUAGUUCUUCUUCUCCCACUUCCUUACUAACUAAUCCUACCUCACACGUCCUUCUUCCUUCUUCCUCUGGUUUGGGGCCCCUUUCCGGAACUGUUGCUGCUACCGCUUCACUCCACUCGUUUCAAGCUCGCGUUCCUCGAACCACGGCUACACCAAGGAUCUGACACGCAUGCAGUUUCCUGAAGUCCCCGCCAGAGGCGCUGUCAAUAUUGUUUACGCGUGGUUUUUGAAAAGGUCGUAUGAAAUAAAUACAUAAAAUUAUUUUUUGCCAGAUUGUUUUUUUAUCUUUUGCGAAUAUUUGCGAGAUAAUUUCAAUUAUUACGUAAAUUUUCCACAUUUUACAUUUAUUAGAUCAAUAAAACAAAGUUCUACUUGACGAUACAAUACAACCAAACUCACUAAACUAAACUAAAAAUCUUAAUAUCUUCAGUUACCUUGAAAUAAAAUAAAAUUAGUUUGAUUCUUCCUGACCGUUGGUUUAAAAUGAAUGGAAUAGUUAUUAAAUUUCAGUCAAUCAAACUUUAAACUAGCUGUCACUGAACACCACAGCAAGGGUCCUGAUUGUUCAAAAUCAACCACUCCAUUCGCGAGCACAAAUAGCAGGCGACGCGAUACUGCCCUGAUGAAUUCCUACUGUUUGUCACUUUCUCACCAUUCGCUCCCGAACACUCUCGCUUCUACUCUCCUUCUCUCUCUGAUCGGCUCAGUCUCCGAACGGCUCAGGCAGGCCGAACGUAACCGAUCACUCUGAACUGAAAACAUUUAUUCUCUGAUGCGCAGCGUUAUACUCAUUCAUUUGGGUUGCCUAAAAUCAAUGUUAUCAAUUCAAUUGUGCAUUUAUUUUGAUUUCAUAACAUUAUAGACACCAUUCAAAGAAACUUCCACCAAGAAAAAUCAAAUUGAUGGCAAACUGAGGGCGUGAAGACAAAAAGACUGCCGCGCUGGCAUUUUGUGAGAAUGGCUCUUCGCUGAGCAUGGUAGUGUGUGAGUGUCGUCGAGCGACGGAGUAGGCAAACAUUUUCACGAUGUAUUUGUUCGCUGAGUGAACAGUUCGGGCCACUCGCUGGCUGCUUGCGAGUAUCAUUCGCUCAUGAAUGCUAGCG